Molecule: ribosomal RNA, 327 nt
Filed under: uncultured eukaryote
Lineage: Eukaryota
Description: partial 18S ribosomal RNA
Rfam family: Eukaryotic small subunit ribosomal RNA
Source: RNAcentral
CCCUUAGAUGUUCUGGGCCGCACACGCGCUACACUGAAGGAGGCAGCGUGUACUCCUGGAUCGAAAGAUUUGGGUAACCCGCGAAUCUCCUUCGUGCUAGGGAUUGAGGUUUGCAAUUAUCCUUCAUGAACGAGGAAUUCCCAGUAAGUGCAAGUCAUAAGCUUGCGCUGACUACGUCCCUGCCCUUUGUACACACCGCCCGUCGCUACUACCGAUUGAAUGAUUUAGUGAGGACUUCGGACUGGGACCGAUGCGGCUUUCGGGUUGCGUCGGUAUUCUGGAAAGAUGUCCAAACUGUAUCAUUUAGAGGAAGUAAAAGUCGUANCA